GUAGCUCAAUUGGCAGAGCAGCUGAUUUGUAAUCAGCAGGUUGCAGGUUCGAUUCCUGUUACUAGCUCCA
Molecule: transfer RNA, 70 nt
Filed under: Subdoligranulum sp.
Lineage: Bacteria; Bacillati; Bacillota; Clostridia; Eubacteriales; Oscillospiraceae
Description: tRNA-Thr
Rfam family: tRNA
About the family: Transfer RNA (tRNA) molecules are approximately 80 nucleotides in length. Their secondary structure includes four short double-helical elements and three loops (D, anti-codon, and T loops).
Source: RNAcentral